GACGAACGCUGGCGGCGUGCUUAACACAUGCAAGUCGAACGGUGAAGCUCCAGCUUGCUGGAGUGGAUCAGUGGCGAACGGGUGAGUAACACGUGAGCAACCUGCCCCAGACUCUGGAAUAAGCGCUGGAAACGGCGUCUAAUACUGGAUACGAGAUCAAGCCGCAUGGUUAUGGUCUGGAAAGUUUUUCGGUUUGGGAUGGGCUCGCGGCCUAUCAGCUUGUUGGUGAGGUAAUGGCUGACCAAGGCGACGACGGGUAGCCGGCCUGGGAGGGCGACCGGCCACACUGGGACUGAGACACGGCCCAGACUCCUACGGGAGGCAGCAGUGGGGAAUAUUGCACAAUGGGCGAAAGCCUGAUGCAGCGACGCCGCGUGAGGGAUGACGGCCUUCGGGUUGUAAACCUCUUUCAGCAGGGAAGAAGCGAAAGUGACGGUACCUGCAGAAGAAGCACCGGCUAACUACGUG
Molecule: ribosomal RNA, 468 nt
Filed under: uncultured bacterium
Lineage: Bacteria
Description: partial 16S ribosomal RNA
Rfam family: Bacterial small subunit ribosomal RNA
Source: RNAcentral